AGAGAGAGACAUGCGCGCAUAUCAAUAAGCGGAGGAAAAGAAACUAACAAGGAUUCCCUUAGUAACGGCGAGUGAAGCGGGAAGAGCUCAAAUUUGAAAUCUUCAAGGUUUUACCUUGACGAAUUGUAGUUUAAAGAAGUGUUUUCUGUUGAAGUUUUGGUAAAAGUUCUUUGGAAUAGGACAUCAUAGAGGGUGAGAAUCCCGUAUUUGACCAUUAUUUUCAGCUGUGUGAUACACUUUCAAAGAGUCGGAUUGUUUGGGAAUGCAGUCCAAAGUGGGUGGUAAAUUUCAUCUAAAGCUAAAUACUGGCGAGAGACCGAUAGCGAACAAGUACCGUGAGGGAAAGAUGAAAAGAACUUUGAAAAGAGAGUUAAACAGUACGUGAAAUUGUCAAAAGGGAAGCGUUUGACACCAGUGUUGUUUUCUCGAAAAUCAAUUAAAAAAGGCAGGAUUUUGUGUUGUAUUGACUUUAUCAGCUUUCUGCACUCUUUUCUUGUCUUUUUUAAUGCACUUUUCGUUUAACAAGUCAACAUCAAUUUCUUUUGUUGUAAAAGGGUCAUUGGAAGGUGGCUUUCUUUUCGGAGAAAGUGUUUAUAGCCUUUGGCCUCUGCAAUCGGAGAGAUUGAGGUCUGCAGCGUAGAUCCUUCGGGGUUAGAUACAUUUGUGCUAAGUUAUAGCCUUUUCAUAGACAACUUGUUGACUAUGAUCAGUCAUGUAGCUUACUCGCUUAUGCUAUUUUACCUACGCUUAGGAUGUUGAUGUGAUACUGCGAGC
This 774-nucleotide ribosomal RNA is filed under the name uncultured Neocallimastigales. RNAcentral's name for it is "partial large subunit ribosomal RNA". It matches the Rfam family "Eukaryotic large subunit ribosomal RNA", at positions 23 to 645 of the family's 3401-position model. The record is from RNAcentral. Lineage: Eukaryota; Fungi; Neocallimastigomycota; Neocallimastigomycetes; Neocallimastigales.